Molecule: ribosomal RNA, 1708 nt
Filed under: Cottoperca gobio
Lineage: Eukaryota; Metazoa; Chordata; Actinopteri; Perciformes; Bovichtidae
Description: 16S ribosomal RNA
Rfam family: Bacterial large subunit ribosomal RNA
Source: RNAcentral
GCCAACUAGCUAGCCCGUCCAAACAACUACAACAAACCACUAUUAAUACCCCUAAAUACCCAAGUAUUAAACCAGAUAAACCAUUUUACCCCCUUAGUAUGGGAGACAGAAAAGGGACCACGGAGCAAUAGAGAAAGUACCGCAAGGGAAAGCUGAAAUAGAAAUGAAACAACCCAGUUAAGCACAUAGAAGCAGAGAUUAAAUCUCGUCCCUUUUGCAUCAUGAUUUAGCUAGUGAAAUUCAAGCGAAGGGCCCUUUAGUUUGAAAACCCGAAGCUAAGGGAGCUACUCCAAGACAGCCUAGUAAUAGGGCAAACCCGUCUCUGUUGCAAAAGAGUGGGAAGAGCUUUGAGUAGAGGCGAUAGACCUACCGAACUUAGUUAUAGCUGGUUACCCAAGAAAUGGAUAGAAGUUCAGCCUCGUAGCUUCUCUCUUCACAUUUAGAGUUAGGAAGUUUUUUCCAACCCUACCACCCCUGAUAUAUAAGAAACCGCGAGAGUUAGUCAAAGGGGGCCCAGCCCCUUUGAAUCAAGAUACAACUUUUACAGGAGGAUAAAGAUCAUAAUAUUUAAGGUAAAACCUCACGUGGGCUCGAAAGCAGCCACCCCUUGAAGAAAGCGUCUUAGCUCGGAACAAUUUUACCACCCAUAAAUACCGAUCACUUAAUCUUAGUCCCCUAAUUUUAUUGGGUCGCCCCAUGCAAACAUGGGGGCGACCAUGCUAAUAUGAGUAAUAAGAAAGCCCCCGGCUUUCUCCUUGCACAGGUGUAACUCGGUACGGACAUACCGCCGAACUCUAACGGCCCCAAACAAAGAGGGAACUGAAUGAAAAAUCAAAUAACCAGAAAAGUAUUCAACAAAUAACCGUUAAUCCUACACAGGCGUGCUUAAAAGGAAAGACUAAAAGAAAGAGAAGGAACUCGGCAAAUACAAAAGCCUCGCCUGUUUACCAAAAACAUCGCCUCUUGUAAUUUUAUUAAAUAAGAGGUCCCGCCUGCCCGGUGACUAUACGUUCAACGGCCGCGGUAUUUUAACUGCGCGAAGGUAGCGAAAUCAUUUGUCUUUUAAAUGGGGACCAGUAUGAACGGCACGACGAGGGCUUGACUGUCUCCUUUUUCAAGUCAGUGAAAUUGAUCUUCCCGUGCAGAAGCGGGAAUAUAAACAUAAGACGAGAAGACCCUAUGAAGCUUUAGACACAAGGUAGCCCCUGUUAAACAACUCUUGAUAAAGAACUAAACUUGGCUAAUUCUACCCUAAUGUCUUUGGUUGGGGCGACCGCGGGGUAAAAAGUAACCCCCACGUGGAACGGGAAUAUAACAUUUCCUCGAGUCCUGAGCUACCGCUCUUGGCAGCAGAAUUUCUGACCAUAUGAUCCGGCAACGCCGAUCAGCGAACUAAGUUACUCUAGGGAUAACAGCGCAAUCCCCUUAUAGAGGCCGCAUCAUUAAGGGGGUUUACGACCUCGAUGUUGGAUCAGGACAUCCCAGUAGUGCAGCCGCUAUUAAGGGUUCGUUUGUUCAACGAUUAAAGUCCUACGUGAUCUGAGUUCAGACCGGAGUAAUCCAGGUCAGUUUCUAUCUAUGAUGUGUUCUUCCCCAGUACGAGAGGACCGAAAAGAAGAAGUCACUAUUUUAAACACACUUCACCCCCACCCGAUGAAGGCAACUAAAAUUGGCAAGGGGACACAUUCCCCCGCCAAAGAAAAUGGCA